AUUGAACGCUGGCGGAAUGCUUUACACAUGCAAGUCGAACGGCAGCACGGACUUCGGUCUGGUGGCGAGUGGCGAACGGGUGAGUAAUGUAUCGGAACGUGCCCAGUCGUGGGGGAUAACGUAGUGAAAAUUACGCUAAUACCGCAUACGAUCUAUGGAUGAAAGCGGGGGAUCGCAAGACCUCGCGCGAUUGGAGCGGCCGAUAUCAGAUUAGGUAGUUGGUGGGGUAAAGGCCCACCAAGCCAACGAUCUGUAGCUGGUCUGAGAGGACGGCCAGCCACACUGGAACUGAGACACGGUCCGGACUCCUACGGUGGGCAGCAGUGGGGAAUUUUGGACAAUGGGCGAAAGCCUGAUCCAGCCAUUCCGCGUGCAGGAUGAAGGCCCUCGGGUUGUAAACUGCUUUUGUACAGAACGAAAAGGUUUCUACUAAUACUAGGAGCUCAUGACGGUACUGUAAGAAUAAGCACCGGCUAACUACGUGCCAGCCGCCGCAGUAA
Molecule: ribosomal RNA, 500 nt
Filed under: uncultured bacterium
Lineage: Bacteria
Description: partial 16S ribosomal RNA
Rfam family: Bacterial small subunit ribosomal RNA
Source: RNAcentral